UACGUAGGCAGCGAGCGUUGUUCGGAGUUACUGGGCGUAAAGGGUGUGUAGGCGGUUUUUUAAGUUUGGUGUGAAAUCUCCCGGCUCAACCGGGAGGGUGCGCCGAAUACUGAGGGACUUCGAGUGCGGGAGAGGAAAGUGGAAUUCCUGGUGUAGCGGUGAAAUGCGUAGAUAUCAGGAGGAACACCGGUGGUGUAGACGGCUUUCUGGACCGUAACUGACGCUGAGACACGAAAGCGUGGGUAGCAAACAGG
This 254-nucleotide ribosomal RNA is filed under the name uncultured bacterium. RNAcentral's name for it is "partial 16S ribosomal RNA". It matches the Rfam family "Bacterial small subunit ribosomal RNA", at positions 524 to 776 of the family's 1533-position model. The record is from RNAcentral.